This 248-nucleotide ribosomal RNA is filed under the name uncultured bacterium. RNAcentral describes it as "partial 16S ribosomal RNA". It matches the Rfam family "Archaeal small subunit ribosomal RNA", at positions 473 to 720 of the family's 1478-position model. The record is from RNAcentral.
AUACCGGCGGCUCGAGUGGUGGCCACUUUUAUUGGGCUUAAAGCGUUCGUAGCUGGGUUGUUAAGUCUCUUGGGAAAUCCGACGGCUUAACCGUCGGGCGUCUAAGAGAUACUGGCAAUCUUGGAACCGGGAGAGGUGAGGGGUACUUCGGGGGUAGGAGUGAAAUCCUAUAAUCCUGGGAGGACCACCUGUGGCGAAGGCGCCUAACUGGAACGGACCUGACGGUGAGUAACGAAAGCCAGGGGCGC